This 139-nucleotide ribosomal RNA is filed under the name uncultured bacterium. RNAcentral's name for it is "partial 16S ribosomal RNA". It matches the Rfam family "Bacterial small subunit ribosomal RNA", at positions 355 to 511 of the family's 1533-position model. The record is from RNAcentral.
UAGGGAAUCUUCGGCAAUGGACGAAAGUCUGACCGAGCAACGCCGCGUGAGUGAAGAAGGUCUUCGGAUUGUAAAGCACUUUCGACGGGGACGAUGAUGACGGUACCCGUAGAAGAAGCCCCGGCUAACUUCGUGUCAG